GAUGAACGCUGGCGGCGUGCCUAAUACAUGCAAGUCGAACGCACAGCGAAAGGUGCCUGCACCUUUCAAGUGAGUGGCGAACGGGUGAGUAACACGUGGACAACCUGCCUCAAGGCUGGGGAUAACAUUUGGAAACAGAUGCUAAUACCGAAUGAAACUUAGUGUCGCAUGAUACGAAGUUAAAAGGCGCUUUGGCGUCACCUAGAGAUGGAUCCGCGGUGCAUUAGUUAGUUGGUGGGGUAGAGGCCUACCAAGACAAUGAUGCAUAGCCGAGUGGAGCGACUGAUCGGCCACAUUGGGACUGAGACACGGCCCAAACUCCUACGGGAGGCUGCAGUAGGGAAUCUUCCAAAAUGGGCGAAAGCCUGAUGGAGCAACGCCGCGUGUGUGAUGAAGGCUUUCGGGUCGUAAAGCACUGUUGUAUGGGAAGAACAGCUAGAAUAGGGAAUGAUUUUAGUUUGACGGUACCAUACCAGAAAGGGACGGCUAAAUACGUGCCAGCAGCCGCCGUAA
This 513-nucleotide ribosomal RNA is filed under the name uncultured bacterium. RNAcentral's name for it is "partial 16S ribosomal RNA". It matches the Rfam family "Bacterial small subunit ribosomal RNA", at positions 28 to 523 of the family's 1533-position model. The record is from RNAcentral.